This 414-nucleotide ribosomal RNA is filed under the name uncultured prokaryote. RNAcentral's name for it is "bacterial SSU rRNA". It matches the Rfam family "Bacterial small subunit ribosomal RNA", at positions 355 to 774 of the family's 1533-position model. The record is from RNAcentral.
UAACGAAUCUUGCGCAAUGGGCGAAAGCCUGACGCAGCGACGCCGCGUGUGGGAUGAAGUCUCUCGGGAUGUAAACCACUGUCAGGGAGAAGAAAGUGCGCUUCGGCGCAUUGAUCUAUCCCAGAGGAAGUCACGGCUAACUUCGUGCCAGCAGCCGCGGUAAGACGAAGGUGGCGGGCGUUGUUCGGUGUCACUGGGCUUAAAGGGUGUGUAGGCGGAAAAGUGUGCGUCUUGUGAAAUCCCCCGGCUUAACCGGGGAAUGGCUGGACGAACUGCUUUUCUUGAGGCAAGUAGGGGUACAUGGAACUCUUGGUGGAGCGGUGGAAUGCGUAGAUAUCAAGAGGAACGCCGAUGGUGAAAACAGUGUACUGGGCUUGAUCUGACGCUGAAACACGAAAGCGUGGGGAGCGAACG